AACGCGAAGAACCUUACCUGGGCUUGAACUACUCGUGGUAGUUCGCUGGAAACAGUGGACGACCCGCAAGGGAGCGAGCAGAGGUGCUGCAUGGUUGUCGUCAGCUCGUGUCGUGAGAUGUUGGGUUAAGUCCCGCAACGAGCGCAACCCCUAUCCAAUGUUGCUAAUCCCGCAAGGGAUGCACUCUUUGGAAACUGCCUUCGAUAAGAAGGAGGAAGGUGGGGAUGACGUCAAAUCCUCAUGGCCUUUAUGUCCAGGGCUACACACGUGCUACAAUGGUCGGUACAAACCGUUGCAAACCCGCGAGGGGGAGCUAAUCGGAAAAAGCCGACCUCAGUUCGGAUCGCAGUCUGCAACUCGACUGCGUGAAGCUGGAAUCGCUAGUAAUCGCGGAUCAGAAUGCCGCGGUGAAUACGUUCCCGGGCCUUGUACACACCGCGCAUA
Molecule: ribosomal RNA, 444 nt
Filed under: uncultured bacterium
Lineage: Bacteria
Description: bacterial SSU rRNA
Rfam family: Bacterial small subunit ribosomal RNA
Source: RNAcentral